AACGAACGCUGGCGGCAUGCCUAACACAUGCAAGUCGAACGAGACCUUCGGGUCUAGUGGCGCACGGGUGCGUAACGCGUGGGAACCUGCCCUUAGGUUCGGAAUAACUCCCCGACAGGGGUGCUAAUACCGGAUAAUGUCUUCGGACCAAAGAUUUAUCGCCUUUGGAUGGGCCCGCGUUGGAUUAGCUAGUUGGUAGGGUAAAAGCCUACCAAGGCGACGAUCCAUAGCUGGUCUGAGAGGAUGAUCAGCCACACUGGGACUGAGACACGGCCCAGACUCCUACGGGAGGGAGGAGUGGGGAAUAGUGGACAAUGGGCGGAAGCCUGAUCCAGCAAUGACGCGUGAGUGAUGAAGGCCUUAGGGUUGUAAAGCGCUUUUACCCGGGAUGAUAAUGACAGUACCGGGAGAAUAAGCUCCGGCUAACUCCGUG
Molecule: ribosomal RNA, 433 nt
Filed under: uncultured bacterium
Lineage: Bacteria
Description: partial 16S ribosomal RNA
Rfam family: Bacterial small subunit ribosomal RNA
Source: RNAcentral